This 253-nucleotide ribosomal RNA is filed under the name uncultured bacterium. Its description in RNAcentral is "partial 16S ribosomal RNA". It matches the Rfam family "Bacterial small subunit ribosomal RNA", at positions 524 to 776 of the family's 1533-position model. The record is from RNAcentral.
UACAGGGGGGGCAAGCGUUGUUCGGAAUUACUGGGCGUAAAGGGCUUGUAGGUGGCCAACUAAGUCAAACGUGAAAUCCCUCAGCUUAACUGGGGAACUGCGUCUGAUACUGGAUGGCUUGAGUUUGGGAGAGGGAUGCGGAAUUCCAGGUGUAGCGGUGAAAUGCGUAGAUAUCUGGAGGAACACCGGUGGCGAAGGCGGCAUCCUGGACCAACACUGACACUGAAAAGCGAAAGCCAGGGGAGCAAACGGG